UACGGAGGGUGCAAGCGUUUGUCCGGAUUUAUUGGGUUUAAAGGGUGCGUAGGCGGCCCUGUAAGUCAGUGGUGAAAUACUGCAGCUUAACUGUAGCAUUGCCAUUGAUACUGUAGGGCUUGAGUACAGAUGAGGUAGGCGGAAUUGAUGGUGUAGCGGUGAAAUGCAUAGAUAUUGUCAAGAACACCAAUUGCGAAGGCAGCUUACUAAGUUAUAACUGACGCUGAGGCACGAAAAGUGCGGGGAUCAAACAGG
Molecule: ribosomal RNA, 255 nt
Filed under: uncultured bacterium
Lineage: Bacteria
Description: partial 16S ribosomal RNA
Rfam family: Bacterial small subunit ribosomal RNA
Source: RNAcentral